CCUACGGGGGGCAGCAGUGAGGAAUAUUGGUCAAUGGGCGAGAGCCUGAACCAGCCAAGUAGCGUGAGGGAAGACGGUCCUAUGGAUUAUAAACCUCUUUUGUCGGGGAGCAAAAGACGCCACGCGUGGGGUUCCGAGAGUACCCGAAGAAAAAGCAUCGGCUAACUCCGUGCCAGCAGCCGCGGUAAUACGGAGGAUGCGAGCGUUAUCCGGAUUUAUUGGGUUUAAAGGGUGCGCAGGCGGAAGGUCAAGUCAGCGGUAAAAUUGAGGGGCUCAACCUCGUCGAGCCGUUGAAACUGGGAUUCUUGAGUGAGUGAGAAGUAUGCGGAAUGCGUGGUGUAGCGGUGAAAUGCAUAGAUAUCACGCAGAACUCCGAUUGCGAAGGCAGCAUACCGGCGCUCAACUGACGCUCAGGCACGAAAGUGUGGGUAUCGAACAGGAUUAGAUACCCGGGUAGUC
This 459-nucleotide ribosomal RNA is filed under the name uncultured bacterium. RNAcentral describes it as "partial 16S ribosomal RNA". It matches the Rfam family "Bacterial small subunit ribosomal RNA", at positions 338 to 795 of the family's 1533-position model. The record is from RNAcentral.